AUGGCGAGGGCGGUGGUGGUGGCCGUACUGCUGGUGCAGUUCUGUAACGUGGUCAUCGCGGCGAGGCUGCUCGAGGGAGACGGCGGUUGGCUGCACGGCGACAUUGGCGCUGCCGGGGCGCUUAUCAUGCAGGUCCUGCCCGGCGGCUCUCCGGGAGCGGGGGCAUCCAACGGCUGCACCAACAACCCCAACCACCCUCCCGGCGGGAAAUGCAACGGCUAA
This 222-nucleotide ribosomal RNA is filed under the name Triticum aestivum (bread wheat). Its description in RNAcentral is "partial small subunit ribosomal RNA". The record is from RNAcentral. Lineage: Eukaryota; Viridiplantae; Streptophyta; Magnoliopsida; Poales; Poaceae.